GACGAACGCUGGCGGCGUGCUUAACACAUGCAAGUCGAACGGAAAGGCCCUGCUUUUGUGGGGUGCUCGAGUGGCGAACGGGUGAGUAACACGUGAGUAACCUGCCCUUGACUUUGGGAUAACUUCAGGAAACUGGGGCUAAUACCGGAUAGGAGCUCCUGCUGCAUGGUGGGGGUUGGAAAGUUUCGGCGGUUGGGGAUGGACUCGCGGCUUAUCAGCUUGUUGGUGGGGUAGUGGCUUACCAAGGCUUUGACGGGUAGCCGGCCUGAGAGGGUGACCGGCCACAUUGGGACUGAGAUACGGCCCAGACUCCUACGGGAGGCGGCAGUGGGGAAUAUUGCACAAUGGGCGGAAGCCUGAUGCAGCAACGCCGCGUGCGGGAUGACGGCCUUCGGGUUGUAAACCGCUUUCGCCUGUGACGAAGCGUGAGUGACGGUAAUGGGUAAAGAAGCACCGCCUAACUACGUG
Molecule: ribosomal RNA, 468 nt
Filed under: uncultured bacterium
Lineage: Bacteria
Description: partial 16S ribosomal RNA
Rfam family: Bacterial small subunit ribosomal RNA
Source: RNAcentral